RNAcentral lists this ribosomal RNA (247 nucleotides) under uncultured bacterium. RNAcentral describes it as "partial 16S ribosomal RNA". It matches the Rfam family "Bacterial small subunit ribosomal RNA", at positions 86 to 334 of the family's 1533-position model. The record is from RNAcentral.
AGAUGGCGACCGGCGCACGGGUGAGUAACACGUAUCCAACCUGCCGAUAACUCGGGGAUGGCCUUUCGAAAGAAAGAUUAAUACCCGAUGGUAUAAUCAGACCGCAUGGUUUGAUUAUUAAAGAAUUUCGGUUAUCGAUGGGGAUGCGUUCCAUUAGGCAGUUGGUGAGGUAACGGCUCACCAAACCUUCGAUGGAUAGGGGUUCUGAGAGGAAGGUCCCCCACAUUGGAACUGAGACACGGUCCAA